RNAcentral lists this long non-coding RNA (199 nucleotides) under Phoenix dactylifera (date palm). RNAcentral's name for it is "long non-coding RNA (PDAC_LNC012948)". The record is from RNAcentral. Lineage: Eukaryota; Viridiplantae; Streptophyta; Magnoliopsida; Arecales; Arecaceae.
GGAUUUGUGUUUAAGUCCAAUUAAUUAAUUCUCUUUGUUCCUUCUUCAACUGAAUAUCAAUCUAAUUGAUUACUUGUGAUUCCUAAUCACGAUUCAACCAUCGGAUCGGUCAAUAAUUCUAGUGUGUGUGACCCCAUAGGUUCUACUCUGACUGGUAGUGAGAUAUAUUAUGAUCUCUAUCACAAUAUCAUUGAAAACU